GGAAGUUUGGCAGAGUGGUCUAAUGCACUGGUCUUGAAAACCAGCAGUCUGAAAAGACUCCAGGGUUCGAAUCCCUGAGCUUCCGCCA
RNAcentral lists this transfer RNA (88 nucleotides) under Candidatus Kinetoplastidibacterium kentomonadis. Its description in RNAcentral is "Candidatus Kinetoplastibacterium sorsogonicusi tRNA-Ser". It matches the Rfam family "tRNA". From Rfam's summary of the family: Transfer RNA (tRNA) molecules are approximately 80 nucleotides in length. Their secondary structure includes four short double-helical elements and three loops (D, anti-codon, and T loops). Lineage: Bacteria; Pseudomonadati; Pseudomonadota; Betaproteobacteria. The record is from RNAcentral.